GUAGCAAUUACACCUCGAAUUUUUGGUUCACAAAAUUAGUGUUUUUACAUUUAAAAAAUGUGACUUUUUUUUUGCAUUUACGAUCCCGCAUUUACGAUCCAAUAUUUCUUUUUCAAUAAAAUGAACACGUGUCAAAUGACAAUUUUCGAUGUACUUGCGGAUUCCUCUCCAAGUGGCAUCCAACUUUUUUGGCAACGUUCACAUCUCGAACAAACACGAGAGUUGGC
RNAcentral lists this long non-coding RNA (227 nucleotides) under Citrus sinensis (sweet orange). RNAcentral describes it as "long non-coding RNA (CSIN_LNC000592)". Lineage: Eukaryota; Viridiplantae; Streptophyta; Magnoliopsida; Sapindales; Rutaceae. The record is from RNAcentral.